UACGUAGGGUGCGAGCGUUUAAUCGGAAUUACUGGGCGUAAAGCGUGCGCAGGCGGUUUUGUAAGCCAGAUGUGAAAUCCCCGGGCUUAACCUGGGAAUGGCAUUUGGGACUGCAAGGCUUGAGUGCGGCAGAGGAGACUGGAAUUCCUGGUGUAGCAGUGAAAUGCGUAGAUAUCAGGGAGGAAUACCGAUGGCGAAAGGCAGGUCUCUGGGCUGACACUGACGCUCAUGCACGAAAGCGUGGGGAGCAAACAGG
Molecule: ribosomal RNA, 256 nt
Filed under: uncultured bacterium
Lineage: Bacteria
Description: partial 16S ribosomal RNA
Rfam family: Bacterial small subunit ribosomal RNA
Source: RNAcentral